GGAACUCUAGGUGUAGCGGUGAAAUGCGUAGAUAUCUAGAGGAACGCCCAUGGCGAAGGCAGGCGGCUGGGCCGAUUCUGACGCUGAGGCACGAAAGCGUGGGUAGCGAACGGGAUUAGAUACCCCGGUAGUCCACGCCCUAAACGAUGUGCACUAGAUCGUGGCCGCUCUGACGCGGGCACGGUCGAAGCAAAAGUGAUAAGUGCACCGCCUGGGGAGUACGGUCGCAAGGCUAAAACUCAAAGGAAUUGACGGGGGCUCACACAAGCGGUGGAGCAUGUGGCUUAAUUCGAAGCAACGCGAAGAACCUUAUCCUGGGUUGAACUACGGCGGAUUAGCUGUUGGAAACAGCAGUGACGCGCUUGCGUGGAACGUCGAUAGGUGCUGCAUGGCUGUCGUCAGCUCGUGCUGUGAAGUGUCGCGUUAAGUCGCUUAACGAGCGAAACCCCUAUCGCUAGUUGCCAACGGGUUAUGCCGGGGACUCUAGCGAGACUGCCGGCGUUAAGCCGGAGGAAGGUGGGGACGACGUCAAGUCCUCAUGGCCUUUAUGCCCAGGGCUGCACACGUGCUACAAUGCCGACUACAGAGCGACGCAAUACCGCAAGGUGGAGCAAAUCGCAAAAAAGUCGGCCCAGUUCGGAUUGUGGUCUGCAACUCGACCACAUGAAGUUGGAAUCGCUAGUAAUCGCGUAUCAGCUACGACGCGGUGAAUGUGUUCCUGAGCCUUGUACACACCGCCCGUCAAGUCAUGGAAGCUGGGGGGACCCGAAGCCGCAUCAACUCAGAUGUGUCGAAGGUCAACUUGGUGACUGGGACUAAGUCGUAACAAGGU
This 832-nucleotide ribosomal RNA is filed under the name uncultured deep-sea bacterium. Its description in RNAcentral is "bacterial SSU rRNA". It matches the Rfam family "Bacterial small subunit ribosomal RNA", at positions 663 to 1497 of the family's 1533-position model. The record is from RNAcentral.